GAUGAAGAACGUAGUGAAAUGCGAUAAGUUAUGUGAAUUGCAGAAUCUCGUGAAUCAUCGAAUCUUUGAACGCACAUUGCGCCCUAUGGAAUUCUGUAGGGCAUGCCUGUCUGAGCGUCAGCAGCAAAAAAAUCAAAAUCUUUGUAGGUAAAGAUUUGGAUUUGGUUAAGAGAUGUAAUCUGUAAAGAACCGGUUACUCUUUUGAAAUUUAAAGGCAGUAUUGAUCAAUCCAACUGUAAACGUGAUAAAACAUCUCGUUUUAUUGUUAGGAAUGAGCUUUUUGCUUGCCUAUAAACCCACUCAUCUUCAUGGGUGACCUCAGAUCAGGUAGGGAUACCCGCUGAACUUAAGCAUAUCAAUAAGCGGAGGA
This 370-nucleotide unclassified non-coding RNA is filed under the name soil metagenome. Its description in RNAcentral is "partial contains 5.8S ribosomal RNA, internal transcribed spacer 2, and large subunit ribosomal RNA". The stretch from base 1 to 120 matches the Rfam family "5.8S ribosomal RNA", at positions 35 to 154 of the family's 154-position model. The record is from RNAcentral.